RNAcentral lists this non-coding RNA (93 nucleotides) under bovine gut metagenome. The record is from RNAcentral.
CAAGGGGGUGCUUAUUGGUGGAUUCUGAUGAAUCUGGAGGCUGAGAUUAUACCCUAAGACCUGAUUCGGUUAAUACCGACGUAGGCAUUUGGA